UAGGGAAUCUUCGGCAAUGGACGGAAGUCUGACCGAGCAACGCCGCGUGAGUGAAGAAGGUUUUCGGAUCGUAAAGCUCUGUUGUAAGAGAAGAACGAGUGUGAGAGUGGAAAGUUCACACUGUGACGGUAACUUACCAGAAAGGGACGGCUAACUACGUGCCAGCAGCCGCGGUAAUACGUAGGUCCCGAGCGUUGUCCGGAUUUAUUGGGCGUAAAGCGAGCGCAGGCGGUUUGAUAAGUCUGAAGUUAAAGGCUGUGGCUCAACCAUAGUUCGCUUUGGAAACUGUCAAACUUGAGUGCAGAAGGGGAGAGUGGAAUUCCAUGUGUAGCGGUGAAAUGCGUAGAUAUAUGGAGGAACACCGGUGGCGAAAGCGGCUCUCUGGUCUGUAACUGACGCUGAGGCUCGAAAGCGUGGGGAGCGAACAGGAUUAGAUACCCUGGUAGUCCACGCCGUAAACGAUGAGUGCUAGGUGUUGGAUCCUUUCCGGGAUUCAGUGCCGCAGCUAACGCAUUAAGCACUCCGCCUGGGGAGUACGNNCGCAAGGUUG
RNAcentral lists this ribosomal RNA (550 nucleotides) under uncultured bacterium. RNAcentral describes it as "bacterial SSU rRNA". It matches the Rfam family "Bacterial small subunit ribosomal RNA", at positions 355 to 896 of the family's 1533-position model. The record is from RNAcentral.